CGGAUCACAAUCAAAGACCUCCUGGGGACCUUCAAUGCAUCCCUUGACAAAUUUGUGCCUGGCCUGCUGAAACUGUACCGGUCUAAGAAGGGAGUUCUUUGUGAGGAGAUGGAAGACCUCCUGGAUAAACUUGAUGAACAGACAUCCAACAUUGUGUCCAACUUGCACUGAGAGGCCUGCCCAUUUUCCUCAAGAGAAGAUGCAACAGAGGUUUUCCUGAAGUGCUUAGACACUGACAUUUUGGAACCAGUGUUGAACAGUGCAUCAGUUGCCAUCCUCACCAUCCUACAAG
This is a long non-coding RNA of Oreochromis aureus, 292 nucleotides long. RefSeq lists it as uncharacterized. NCBI's taxonomy places the organism in Eukaryota, Metazoa, Chordata, Actinopteri, Cichliformes, Cichlidae. The transcript has 3 exons. The record is from RefSeq and is a predicted model, not a curated record.